Molecule: ribosomal RNA, 1425 nt
Filed under: uncultured organism
Description: 16S ribosomal RNA
Rfam family: Bacterial small subunit ribosomal RNA
Source: RNAcentral
UGCAAGUCGAGGGGCAUCAGGAACACCGUUUGCUUUCUUUGCUGGCGACCGGCGCACGGGUGAGUAACACGUAUCCAACCUGCCCUUUACUCGGGGAUAGCCUUUCGAAAGAAAGAUUAAUACCCGAUGGCAUAAUGAUUCCGCAUGGUUUCAUUAUUAAAGGAUUCCGGUAAAGGAUGGGGAUGCGUUCCAUUAGGUUGUUGGUGAGGUAACGGCUCACCAAGCCUUCGAUGGAUAGGGGUUCUGAGAGGAAGGUCCCCCACAUUGGAACUGAGACACGGUCCAAACUCCUACGGGAGGCAGCAGUGAGGAAUAUUGGUCAAUGGGCGCUAGCCUGAACCAGCCAAGUAGCGUGAAGGAUGAAGGCUCUAUGGGUCGUAAACUUCUUUUAUAUAAGAAUAAAGUGCAGUAUGUAUACUGUUUUGUAUGUAUUAUAUGAAUAAGGAUCGGCUAACUCCGUGCCAGCAGCCGCGGUAAUACGGAGGAUCCGAGCGUUAUCCGGAUUUAUUGGGUUUAAAGGGAGCGUAGGUGGACUGGUAAGUCAGUUGUGAAAGUUUGUGGCUCAACCGUAAAAUUGCAGUUGAUACUGUCAGUCUUGAGUACAGUAGAGGUGGGCGGAAUUCGUGGUGUAGCGGUGAAAUGCUUAGAUAUCACGAAGAACUCCGAUUGCGAAGGCAGCUCACUGGACUGCAACUGACACUGAUGCUCGAAAGUGUGGGUAUCAAACAGGAUUAGAUACCCUGGUAGUCCACACAGUAAACGAUGAAUACUCGCUGUUUGCGAUAUACAGUAAGCGGCCAAGCGAAAGCAUUAAGUAUUCCACCUGGGGAGUACGCCGGCAACGGUGAAACUCAAAGGAAUUGACGGGGGCCCGCACAAGCGGAGGAACAUGUGGUUUAAUUCGAUGAUACGCGAGGAACCUUACCCGGGCUUAAAUUGCAGUGGAAUGAUGUGGAAACAUGUCAGUGAGCAAUCACCGCUGUGAAGGUGCUGCAUGGUUGUCGUCAGCUCGUGCCGUGAGGUGUCGGCUUAAGUGCCAUAACGAGCGCAACCCUUAUCUUUAGUUACUAACAGGUUAUGCUGAGGACUCUAGAGAGACUGCCGUCGUAAGAUGUGAGGAAGGUGGGGAUGACGUCAAAUCAGCACGGCCCUUACGUCCGGGGCUACACACGUGUUACAAUGGGGGGUACAGAAGGCAGCUAGCGGGUGACCGUAUGCUAAUCCCAAAAGCCUCUCUCAGUUCGGAUCGAAGUCUGCAACCCGACUUCGUGAAGCUGGAUUCGCUAGUAAUCGCGCAUCAGCCACGGCGCGGUGAAUACGUUCCCGGGCCUUGUACACACCGCCCGUCAAGCCAUGGGAGCCGGGGGUACCUGAAGUACGUAACCGCAAGGAUCGUCCUAGGGUAAAACUGGUGACUGGGGCUAA